AUUUUUUUUCUGUGUUGGGAAUUGAAAAUCGUGGAAUAUGAUAUUCUUAAAAACAACGUUAAAAAAAUGUAAAAAAGAAAAAAAAAUUAAAUAGAUGAACCAACUGACCAAACUGGUUCUUUGUAUUAAGACAAGUUUAAAUUCGUUGCAACUGAUUAUGUUGGUUCUCUAGAAAGCUGUAGGAAGUUACGCGAAACAUCGGGAUAAACACUGCAACACCCGCC
Molecule: long non-coding RNA, 224 nt
Filed under: Gossypium raimondii (Peruvian cotton)
Lineage: Eukaryota; Viridiplantae; Streptophyta; Magnoliopsida; Malvales; Malvaceae
Description: long non-coding RNA (GRAI_LNC007917)
Source: RNAcentral